This 571-nucleotide ribosomal RNA is filed under the name Penicillium sp. AL-31 IRH-2012a. Its description in RNAcentral is "eukaryotic LSU rRNA". It matches the Rfam family "Eukaryotic large subunit ribosomal RNA", at positions 68 to 652 of the family's 3401-position model. The record is from RNAcentral. Lineage: Eukaryota; Fungi; Ascomycota; Eurotiomycetes; Eurotiales; Aspergillaceae.
ACUGGGUGAUUGCCUCAGUAACGGCGAAGUGAACGGCAAGAGCUCAAAUUUGAAAGCUGGCUCCUUCGGGGUCCGUAUUGUAAUUUGCAGAGGAUGCUUCGGGAGCGGCCCCCAUCUAAGUGCCCUGGAACGGGCCGUCAUAGAGGGUGAAAAUCCCGUCUGGGAUGGGGUGUCCGCGCCCGUGUGAAGCUCCUUCGACGAGUCGAGUUGUUUGGGAAUGCAGCUCUAAAUGGGUGGUAAAUUUCAUCUAAAGCUAAAUAUUGGCCGGAGACCGAUAGCGCACAAGUAGAGUGAUCGAAAGAUGAAAAGCACUUUGAAAAGAGAGUUAAACAGCACGUGAAAUUGUUGAAAGGGAAGCGCUUGCGACCAGACUCGCCCACGGGGUUCAGCCGGCAUUCGUGCCGGUGUACUUCCCCGCGGGCGGGCCAGCGUCGGUUUGGGCGGCCGGUCAAGGGCCCUCGGAAUGUAACGCCCCCCGGGGCGUCUUAUAGCCGAGGGUGCCAUGCGGCCAGCCCAGACCGAGGGACGCGCUUCGGUUCGGACGCUGGGAUAAUGGUCGUAAGCGCCCUGU